RNAcentral lists this ribosomal RNA (253 nucleotides) under uncultured bacterium. Its description in RNAcentral is "partial 16S ribosomal RNA". It matches the Rfam family "Bacterial small subunit ribosomal RNA", at positions 524 to 776 of the family's 1533-position model. The record is from RNAcentral.
UACGUAGGGUGCAAGCGUUAAUCGGAAUUACUGGGCGUAAAGCGUGCGCAGGCGGUUGUGCAAGACAGAUGUGAAAUCCCCGGGCUUAACCUGGGAACUGCAUUUGUGACUGCACAGCUAGAGUGCGGCAGAGGGGGAUGGAAUUCCGCGUGUAGCAGUGAAAUGCGUAGAUAUGCGGAGGAACACCGAUGGCGAAGGCAAUCCCCUGGGCCUGCACUGACGCUCAUGCACGAAAGCGUGGGGAGCAAACAGG